CUCGUGAUUUCCUUUACUUUAGAAGUUUGUAUAAAUGUCCUGUUUGUUUUCCUACGUAUUAGUAGUGGAAAAGGAAAAGAAGUUUCUUUCCUAGAAAUAAUUUAGCUGAGGUAUCUAUAUGUUCACGGUACUGAAACUGAAUAGAUAGCUUAUUUCACUUCUCCCACCUCCGAUCCCCCUUUUUUUUCUUUUCAAGCCAGCCAAACAGAGCAUACAUUUACCAUUUUAG
This 229-nucleotide unclassified non-coding RNA is filed under the name Hevea brasiliensis (rubber tree). Lineage: Eukaryota; Viridiplantae; Streptophyta; Magnoliopsida; Malpighiales; Euphorbiaceae. The record is from RNAcentral.